Pipistrellus kuhlii (Kuhl's pipistrelle) is the source of this 104-nucleotide small nuclear RNA. Lineage: Eukaryota; Metazoa; Chordata; Mammalia; Chiroptera; Vespertilionidae. The record is from RefSeq and is a predicted model, not a curated record.
ACACUAAAAUUGGGGUAGCGCAUACACUAAAAUUGGAACAAUAGAGAUUAGCAUGGCCCCUGCGCAAGGAUGACACCCAAAUUCGUGAAGCGUUCCAUAUUUUU